UUCGUGACAUUUAGUCGUCGGGAUUAUAAUUUUAUUCUUCUCUUUUAACAUGCUUGGCCAAGUUUUUACCUUACGUUGGCUAUGUUACAAUCAUCAUGACCGAAAAUCCUAUCAUAAAGUACGCUCUUAUUGGUGCUUUGGGUUUACUCGCGAUUACAUCCAAAGAUUGAUAAUCCUCUGAUUUUUCAUACACUGGGAUGAUACAAAUUUCGUCCCAGUCGAGUAGUAUUUAUGAACCGAUUCAGUGAAAUCAAAAUGCAGCAUUGUUAGUUUCGACUUUACAUAUAGCUGCCCGGUUUUCUGGGUCAAGUUGGAAAUGAAAUAAUAUUUUAUUUAAAAUAAUUUAAACAUUAGAUCUUGCUCAAAGGGUUAAAUUUUGAAAAUCUUGUAAAUGACCAAACUUUUCUCGUAUGUCUCUCGAAGAUCGUCAACGGACCGACUCUCAGAAUGUGAAAGAGGCCAACUGGGAAGAGACGGUUGAAACCCGAAUCUUUCGAGAAGGCAUCAUUCAUCCGUCAGAUGUUGCUUACCAAGUGUUUGAUAAAAUUCGUGACAUUUAGUCGUCGGGAUUAUAAUUUUAUUCUCCUCUUUUAACAUGCUUGGGCAAGUCGAAAG
Molecule: long non-coding RNA, 615 nt
Filed under: Helianthus annuus (common sunflower)
Lineage: Eukaryota; Viridiplantae; Streptophyta; Magnoliopsida; Asterales; Asteraceae
Source: RNAcentral